Molecule: long non-coding RNA, 567 nt
Organism: Quercus lobata
Lineage: Eukaryota; Viridiplantae; Streptophyta; Magnoliopsida; Fagales; Fagaceae
Exons: 3
Source: RefSeq, a predicted model, not a curated record
AUUUGAAAGGGCCUAUGUUAUGGAAGAUUCUUGAUUCAAAUUCAAAGAAAUGUGCCAUUAUUUUUUGAGGAAAAGGAGAUAUGCCAAGUAGUGGUAAUGAAAAUCCUUUGGGGUGCACGGGAGGAAGCUCUGGUUUCAAACACCAAUGUCUUGGAAAUUGAAGACCAAAAUAGAGAGUGUGACUCUUACUUGAGAUUGCAAGGGAAAUUGAAGACCAAAAUAAUAAGAAUGCUUGGAAAUUGCCUACCCGUGAACUGGAAAUGCAACACCAAUGUCUUCAAUGGCCCAACCCUUUCUAAAUGAGGACGCUGACUUCAAUUUAUGUCCACCGUUGAAGAAAAUGAGAACCUCUUGAUUGAACUUCAAAGAAAUAUGCCAAGUAGUGGCGAUGAAAGUCCUUUGGGAGGCAUGAGAGGAAGUGCUGCUUUUUUGCAAACGCUAAACAAGUAUAUGUCUCACUGUUUUGAUGCAUCAUGCGAUCAAAAUAAUGUAGGCUUGGCUGCGGUUCUCAGAGAUCAGGACUGGAAUGCCAUUGGCCAAAGAGGAGAGUUUUGAACAAGUUGUGAU